RNAcentral lists this ribosomal RNA (421 nucleotides) under uncultured bacterium. Its description in RNAcentral is "bacterial SSU rRNA". It matches the Rfam family "Bacterial small subunit ribosomal RNA", at positions 28 to 434 of the family's 1533-position model. The record is from RNAcentral.
GAUGAACGCUGGCGGCGUGCUUAACACAUGCAAGUCGAACGAGGAUUUAACGGAAUGCGAUUCGUCAAAUGAAAUUAAAUCCGAGUGGCGGACGGGUGAGUAACGCGUGGAUAACCUGCCUCACACAGGGGGACAACAGCCGGAAACGGCUGCUAAUACCGCAUAACACAAGUAAUUCGCAUGAAUAACUUGCCAAAGAUUUCAUCGGUGUGAGAUGGAUCCGCGUCUGAUUAGCCAGUUGGCGGGGUAACGGCCCACCAAAGCGACGAUCAGUAGCCGACCUGAGAGGGUGACCGGCACAUUGGGACUGAGACACGGCCCAAAUCCUACGGGAGCAGCAGUGGGGAAUAUUGCACAAAUGGGCGAAAGCCUGAUGCAGCGACGCCGCGUGAAGGAUGAAGUAUUCGGUAUGUAAACUUCU